AACAUAGCAGGUUAAGAGGAGUAGGUUAAGGUUAGGAGAAUUAACAUAGCAGGUUAAGAGGAGUAGGUUAAGGUUAGGAGAAUUAACAUAGCAGGUUAAGAUGAGUAGGUUAAGGUCAGGAUAAUUAACAUAGCAGGUUAAGAGGAGUAGGUUAAGGUUAGGAGAAUUAACAUAGCAGGUUAAGAUGAGUAGGUUAAGGUCAGGAUAAUUAACAUAGCAGGUUAAGAGGAGUAGGUUAAGGUUAGGAGAAUUAACAUAGCAGGUUAAGAUGAGUAGGUUAAGGUCAGGAUAAUUAACAUAGCAGGUUAAGGUUAGGAAAAGGGAAAGGGUUAGCUAAAAUGCAGCAACAAAAAUACUUUUGAUGUCAAUUUAAUUCCAUGGUGAAAUGUGAUUUUGCAUACUAGUAACAUGAUUGACGGUGAAAUGUGAUUUUGCAUACUAGUAACAUGAUUGACGGUGAAAUGUGAUUUUGCAUACUAGUAACAUGAUUGAUAGUGAAAUGUGACUUUGCAUACUAGUAACAUGAUUGAUAGUGAAAUGUCAGAAUUGAUUUUUGUUUAACGAACCUGUUCGUUCUCACACUUGGUGUAAAUCUUUGCAUUCACCAUCACAUGUACUUGAAAUUAUAUUGUGAAAUACAUUUUCAUUAUAAUGCUAUUGAAAUUGUACAAUUCUUCCAAUGUCCCAUACCAUAUACCUUUUUAUGAAAUUGUGCACAUGAAUAGAUAUUAAGUUAACUUUGAAUGACCGUAAAUUGAACCUUUACAGCCUACGGACUUUGUUGAUGUCAGUCUUCAUUGGAGACUACCUGUGCUGAGGUACAUCGCCAGACGUAAAAUCAAUUCAUGUCAAUGUGGCACUAAGCUGUUUUUGCCUUUCCCUUUUUGUUUGCUGUCACAAUUUACCGAACUAUAAUAAUUAAUAAGUGAUUAAUAAGGAGCAUCCAGACGUUGCACAAACAAUUUAUUUGUAACUAUAAUGAAAAAAGAUAAAUGCAACAUGUAAAGUU
This is a long non-coding RNA of Oncorhynchus kisutch (coho salmon), 1009 nucleotides long. RefSeq lists it as uncharacterized. The record is from RefSeq and is a predicted model, not a curated record. NCBI's taxonomy places the organism in Eukaryota, Metazoa, Chordata, Actinopteri, Salmoniformes, Salmonidae. The transcript has 2 exons.